UCCAUACAUCGGAUCAUUUUCUAUACUCAAAACUGUGGCCGACCAAGCGGCCUGGACAGCUCUGACAACAUAAGAGGACUUACGCAUAACAGGAAUUAUCAAGUGCAAUUGCUCCCCAUCAUGGAUACGAAGUUCAUGCCAGCACUGUUCUACACUGGCGCACCAAACAUGCAGAUCGCCCUCUCCGCAGUCUGGGUUACGUUGACAUGCCAAAGAACCAGACAUGUGCAAAAUUAUCAUGACACAGUCCAUACAGAUGGUCACGACGGUCGUACCAACGUCCACUGGGUCACUGAAGAACGCAUCGGGAGUCUGCCGCCAUCACCGCACGCGGGCGGCUGGACCGCUUCAUGUCCGAGCCGGACUCGCCCCGCCUGCUUCGCCACCAUGGUCGCACACCGAGCCGCCCUCACCCCUUCACGCCCGCGCAGGCCGCCGGCCUCCACUGCCACAAGU
This 456-nucleotide long non-coding RNA is filed under the name Hordeum vulgare. RNAcentral describes it as "long non-coding RNA (HVUL_LNC006984)". The record is from RNAcentral. Lineage: Eukaryota; Viridiplantae; Streptophyta; Magnoliopsida; Poales; Poaceae.